CUCCAGGCAAAAAGUGAUAUAGAAUCUCAGGUAAUAUUAGAAUAACAUUAAUGUUUUUACACCAAAGUCAAUUGCAAUGCUUAUUAAUGUAAAAUUGAUUUCGGCAUAUAUUUCUAGAUUGUAUCUGCCAUCUGCCUCAUCCUCAACCAGAAAAAUGAAAAGAGGUUUCAAGAACAAAUAUACUGUCUCCCCCCCGAUAUUGUGAGCAUGGCACUUUCAGAUCACCCAAAGGGGGAAUUCAUAUCAUCGAAAACGAAAAAGGAAUUCAGGGUGGAAGCCUACCCGAGUUUCAUUCCCUUCAUAGAUAGAAAAAAAUUAACUUCGCAUCCAUAUAUUUUUGCUCCUGUUUGCCACUUGGGGCAUUGGUGGUUAUGGCUGAUAAAUACAACAAAG
This is a non-coding RNA of Arachis ipaensis, 393 nucleotides long. The record is from RefSeq and is a predicted model, not a curated record. Lineage: Eukaryota; Viridiplantae; Streptophyta; Magnoliopsida; Fabales; Fabaceae.